GGUUAAGCGACUAAGCGUACACGGUGGAUGCCCUGGCAGUCAGAGGCGAUGAAGGGCGUGCUAAUCUGCGAUAAGCGCCGGUAAGGUGAUAUGAACCGUUAUAACCGGCGAUACCCGAAUGGGGAAACCCAGUGUGACUCGUCACACUAUCAUUAACUGAAUCCAUAGGUUAAUGAGGCGAACCGGGGGAACUGAAACAUCUAAGUACCCCGAGGAAAAGAAAUCAACCGAGAUUCCCCCAGUAGCGGCGAGCGAACGGGGAGGAGCCCAGAGCCUGAAUCAGCAUGUGUGUUAGUGGAAGCGUCUGGAAAGGCGCGCGAUACAGGGUGACAGCCCCGUACACAAAAGCGCAUGUGCUGUGAGCUCGAUGAGUAGGGCGGGACACGUGGUAUCCUGUCUGAAUAUGGGGGGACCAUCCUCCAAGGCUAAAUACUCCUGACUGACCGAUAGUGAACCAGUACCGUGAGGGAAAGGCGAAAAGAACCCCGGCGAGGGGAGUGAAAAAGAACCUGAAACCGUGUACGUACAAGCAGUGGGAGCACAGGUUUACCUGUGUGACUGCGUACCUUUUGUAUAAUGGGUCAGCGACUUAUAUUCUGUAGCAAGGUUAACCGCAUAGGGGAGCCGGAGGGAAACCGAGUCUUAAUUGGGCGUUAAGUUGCAGGGUAUAGACCCGAAACCCGGUGAUCUAGCCAUGGGCAGGUUGAAGGUUGGGUAACACUAACUGGAGGACCGAACCGACUAAUGUUGAAAAAUUAGCGGAUGACCUGUGGCUGGGGGUGAAAGGCCAAUCAAACCGGGAGAUAGCUGGUUCUCCCCGAAAGCUAUUUAGGUAGCGCCUCGUGAAUUCAUCUCCGGGGGUAGAGCACUGUUUCGGCUAGGGGGCCAUCCCGGCUUACCAACCCGAUGCAAACUGCGAAUACCGGAGAAUGUUAUCACGGGAGACACACGGCGGGUGCUAACGUCCGUCGUGAAGAGGGAAACAACCCAGACCGCCAGCUAAGGUCCCAAAGUCAUGGUUAAGUGGGAAACGAUGUGGGAAGGCCCAGACAGCCAGGAUGUUGGCUUAGAAGCAGCCAUCAUUUAAAGAAAGCGUAAUAGCUCACUGGUCGAGUCGGCCUGCGCGGAAGAUGUAACGGGGCUAAACCAUGCACCGAAGCUGCGGCAGCGAACGUAUCACUUAAAGCGAUUCAGCGGGUUACGAUUGACGGAGCGAAGCGACGUCAAAGCGUAUACAAAGUCGAGUCGGUUUAAGGAUACGUUCGUUGGGUAGGGGAGCGUUCUGUAAGCCUGCGAAGGUGGCCUGUGAGGGUUGCUGGAGGUAUCAGAAGUGCGAAUGCUGACAUAAGUAACGAUAAAGCGGGUGAAAAGCCCGCUCGCCGGAAGACCAAGGGUUCCUGUCCAACGUUAAUCGGGGCAGGGUGAGUCGACCCCUAAGGCGAGGCCGAAAGGCGUAGUCGAUGGGAAACGGGUUAAUAUUCCCGUACUUGGUGUUACUGCGAAGGGGGGACGGAGAAGGCUAUGUUGGCCGGGCGACGGUUGUCCCGGUUUAAGCGUGUAGGUGUGUGUUCCAGGUAAAUCCGGUUCACUUUAACACUGAGGCGUGAUGACGAGGCACUACGGUGCUGAAGCAACAAAUGCCCUGCUUCCAGG
RNAcentral lists this ribosomal RNA (1653 nucleotides) under Salmonella enterica subsp. enterica serovar Agona str. 400095 13. RNAcentral describes it as "bacterial LSU rRNA". It matches the Rfam family "Bacterial large subunit ribosomal RNA", at positions 1 to 1612 of the family's 2925-position model. The record is from RNAcentral. Lineage: Bacteria; Pseudomonadati; Pseudomonadota; Gammaproteobacteria; Enterobacterales; Enterobacteriaceae.